CAAGACAACUUUACGGAGUUGACGAUUGACGGAGCGAAGCGACGUCAAAGCGUUCAUUAAAGUCGAGUUGGCUUAGGGAUACGUUCGUUGGGUAGGGGAGCGUUCUGUAAGCCUGUGAAGGUGUGUCGUGAGGCAUGCUGGAGGUAUCAGAAGUGCGAAUGCUGACAUAAGUAACGAUAAAGCGGGUGAAAAGCCCGCUCGCCGGAAGACCAAGGGUUCCUGUCCAACGUUAAUCGGGGCAGGGUGAGUCGACCCCUAAGGCGAGGCCGAAAGGCGUAGUCGAUGGGAAACGGGUUAAUAUUCCCGUACUUGGUGUUACUGCGAAGGGGGGACGGAGAAGGCUAUGUUGGCCGGGCGACGGUUGUCCCGGUUUAAGCGUGUAGGUGUGUGUUCCAGGUAAAUCCGGUUCACUUUAACACUGAGGCGUGACGACGAGGCACUACGGUGCUGAAGCAACAAAUGCCCUGCUUCCAGGAAAAGCCUCUAAGCAUCAGGUAACACGAAAUCGUACCCCAAACCGACACAGGUGGUCAGGUAGAGAAUACCAAGGCGCUUGAGAGAACUCGGGUGAAGGAACUAGGCAAAAUGGUGCCGUAACUUCGGGAGAAGGCACGCUGACACGUAGGUGAAGUGAUUUACUCAUGGAGCUGAAGUCAGUCGAAGAUACCAGCUGGCUGCAACUGUUUAUUAAAAACACAGCACUGUGCAAACACGAAAGUGGACGUAUACGGUGUGACGCCUGCCCGGUGCCGGAAGGUUAAUUGAUGGGGUCAGCGCAAGCGAAGCUCCUGAUCGAAGCCCCGGUAAACGGCGGCCGUAACUAUAACGGUCCUAAGGUAGCGAAAUUCCUUGUCGGGUAAGUUCCGACCUGCACGAAUGGCGUAAUGAUGGCCAGGCUGUCUCCACCCGAGACUCAGUGAAAUUGAACUCGCUGUGAAGAUGCAGUGUACCCGCGGCAAGACGGAAAGACCCCGUGAACCUUUACUAUAGCUUGACACUGAACAUUGAGCCUUGAUGUGUAGGAUAGGUGGGAGGCUUUGAAGUGUGGACGCCAGUCUGCAUGGAGCCGACCUUGAAAUACCACCCUUUAAUGUUUGAUGUUCUAACGUGGACCCGUAAUCCGGGUUGCGGACAGUGUCUGGUGGGUAGUUUGACUGGGGCGGUCUCCUCCUAAAGAGUAACGGAGGAGCACGAAGGUUGGCUAAUCCUGGUCGGACAUCAGGAGGUUAGUGCAAUGGCAUAAGCCAGCUUGACUGCGAGCGUGACGGCGCGAGCAGGUGCGAAAGCAGGUCAUAGUGAUCCGGUGGUUCUGAAUGGAAGGGCCAUCGCUCAACGGAUAAAAGGUACUCCGGGGAUAACAGGCUGAUACCGCCCAAGAGUUCAUAUCGACGGCGGUGUUUGGCACCUCGAUGUCGGCUCAUCACAUCCUGGGGCUGAAGUAGGUCCCAAGGGUAUGGCUGUUCGCCAUUUAAAGUGGUACGCGAGCUGGGUUUAGAACGUCGUGAGACAGUUCGGUCCCUAUCUGCCGUGGGCGCUGGAGAACUGAGGGGGGCUGCUCCUAGUACGAGAGGACCGGAGUGGACGCAUCACUGGUGUUCGGGUUGUCAUGCCAAUGGCACUGCCCGGUAGCUAAAUGCGGAAGAGAUAAGUGCUGAAAGCAUCUAAGCACGAAACUUGCCCCGAGAUGAGUUCUCCCUGAGACUUAGAGUCUCCUGAAGGAACGUUGAAGACGACGACGUUGAUAGGCCGGGUGUGUAAGCGCAGCGAUGCGUUGAGCUAACCGGUACUAAUGAACCGUGAGGCUUAACCUUACA
This 1814-nucleotide ribosomal RNA is filed under the name Salmonella enterica. Its description in RNAcentral is "bacterial LSU rRNA". It matches the Rfam family "Bacterial large subunit ribosomal RNA", at positions 1163 to 2925 of the family's 2925-position model. Lineage: Bacteria; Pseudomonadati; Pseudomonadota; Gammaproteobacteria; Enterobacterales; Enterobacteriaceae. RNAcentral also lists the same sequence under 2 other names. The record is from RNAcentral.